This 59-nucleotide ribosomal RNA is filed under the name Enterococcus pseudoavium. RNAcentral describes it as "partial 16S ribosomal RNA". It matches the Rfam family "Bacterial small subunit ribosomal RNA", at positions 1 to 59 of the family's 1533-position model. The record is from RNAcentral. Lineage: Bacteria; Bacillati; Bacillota; Bacilli; Lactobacillales; Enterococcaceae.
UUAUAUGAGAGUUUGAUCCUGGCUCAGGACGAACGCUGGCGGCGUGCCUAAUACAUGCA